RNAcentral lists this ribosomal RNA (460 nucleotides) under uncultured bacterium. Its description in RNAcentral is "partial 16S ribosomal RNA". It matches the Rfam family "Bacterial small subunit ribosomal RNA", at positions 338 to 795 of the family's 1533-position model. The record is from RNAcentral.
CCUACGGGUGGCUGCAGUGAGGAAUAUUGGUCAAUGGACGAGAGUCUGAACCAGCCAAGUAGCGUGAAGGAUGACUGCCCUAUGGGUUGUAAACUUCUUUUAUAUGGGAAUAAAAUGUUCCACGUGUGGGAUUUUGUAUGUACCAUAUGAAUAAGGAUCGGCUAACUCCGUGCCAGCAGCCGCGGUAAUACGGAGGAUCCGAGCGUUAUCCGGAUUUAUUGGGUUUAAAGGGAGCGUAGGUGGAUUGUUAAGUCAGUUGUGAAAGUUUGCGGCUCAAACGUAAAAUUGCAGUUGAAACUGGCAGUCUUGAGUACAGUAGAGGUGAGCGGAAUUCGAGGUGUAGCGGUGAAAUGCUUAGAUAUAACGAAGAACUCCGAUUGCGAAGGCAGUUCACUGGACUGCAACUGACACUGAGGCUCGAAAGCGUGGGUAUCAAACAGGAUUAGAUACCCGAGUAGUC